Molecule: long non-coding RNA, 2648 nt
Organism: Mustela putorius furo (domestic ferret)
Lineage: Eukaryota; Metazoa; Chordata; Mammalia; Carnivora; Mustelidae
Source: Ensembl
CCCCAGGGUGUUAAGAGGAAAAUGGUAGGUUUGGGAAUGAAAAAUGAAAGAUCUACCUUUCAUUUUAUGGCUGGAUUAACCCAGGUGAGCUAUGUGUUUGUGAGCUCUACACCCACGGUGGGGCUCAAACUCAUGAUUUCAAGAUCAAGAGUGGCAUGUUCUCUACUAACGGAACCAGUCAGAUGCCUCUCAGUGACUAUAUUUUUAUUCCGCUCCAUAUCACCCUUCUUAAUGCAAAUGUACAGAGAAUGAAUGCAAGUGUUUCCCCCUGUCUUAGGGUGAAAUCAAAACAAACAUAGGUUUAUUUAUCACUUUUUCUAAUUUAAAAAUUACAUAAGCAAAACCCAUAAGAACACUAACUAUAGAUAUAGUAGAAAAUGAGGUAAAUUAAAUUAUCUUCAAGUUCACAUCUUUGGUGUAUAUCCACUUGUGUCUCUGUGUAUACUCAAAUAUAUACAUACGCUUAAGUAUAUAUUUAAUUAAAUUAAUUAAUUAACUUAUUUAUUUGAGAGAGAGGGGGCGAGCAUGAGAGGGGAGAAGGUCAGAGGGAAAAGCAGACUCCCCAUGGAGCUGGGUGCCAGAUAGGACUCGAUCCGAGGGCUCUGGGAUCAUGACCUGAGCCAAAGACAGUCGUUUAACCAACUGAGCCACCCAGGUGCCUGAUAAGUAUAUAUUUUAAAAAGCAAUUACAUGAUUAUAUUAUACAAACUUUUUUUUUUUUUUUUUUUACUUAUUUAUUUGACAGACAUCAAGAAAGAGGGAACACAAGCAGGGAGGAGUGGGGGAGGGAGAAGCAGGCUUCCCAUUGAGCAGGGAGCCCUUUGUGGGCUUCAAUCCCAGGAAUCUGGAUCUUGACCUGAGCGGAAGGCAGAUGCUUAACAAUUGAGCCACCCAGAUGCCUCUAUUAUACAAACUUUUAAAGCAUGAUUUUCUCCCUGGAAUAUAUUCAGAUAUAUGAAAAAAUUGGUUCUUUUAAAAUAAUGUAUACCUAUUGUAAAAUAUCUAAAUGGUAAAGAAGAUGUAAAAAGAAAAUCAGCUGUCUAUUAUAUAGACAUAACAUUAUUUAUUUAAGAGUUACCCUAUUAUGGUUAUUUAAGCAAAUUUUCUCAUUUUCUACAGUCACAAAUAAUGCAGAAAAUAUCUUGCAUAUAUUAAAUAAUUUCUUGAGCUUCUAAUUCUCCAGUAAAGGAUGGUCUAAUCCUUCCCUUGCUUUCUCAUUUUUAGUACUACUUCUGUACCAUGCCUCUCAAGUUCCACAUAUAUACAAAAAUGUCAAAAAUGAUUGACAAAUGAAACAUAACAAAACAUCUAACAUGUAGCAAGAAGCAAGCAUUUGAUGCCAAGUUAUCUGUGUGUGGGAGAACAAGUUAAUAUUUCAAAAGGGGGAAAAUACAGGGCGCCUGGGUGGCUCAUGUCAUGAUCCCAGAGUCCCUGGAUUGAAUCCUUGGAUUGACUCCCGCAUGGGGCUCCCAGCUCCAUGGGGAGUCUGCUUCUCCCUCUGACCUCCCCUCUCUUGCCCUCUCUCACUCUCUCUCAAAUAAAUAAAUAAAUAAAUAAUUUUUUUUUUAAAGGAAGGGAUACAGCUUAAAUUGGGAUAGUGGAAGGAUGGAGAGAAAGAAAAGACUCAACUGGGCUUCAUUUCCUAUAAAUUUAAGGAUUUUUUUUUCAUAUAUAUAUAUAUAUAUAUGUUUGUGAUCUAGAUAGAUCAAUCAAUCACAAACAACCAAUUGACCUUUCUGCUUUCUAUUUAUGUAAAGGAAAUCCAUCUAUUUUCUUUUUUAUUUGAGUAUAGUUGCCCACAAUGUUACAUUAGUUUCAGGUAUACAACUGUAGUGAUUGGACAAGUUUAUCCAUUAUGCUACAUUCAUCAUACAUCUCUAUUACAACAAGUUUAAGGAUGUUUUUUAAAUUCUGACAGUUCAUGACAAUGGAAUAGAAGUUGAGUUGGGACUUUGGAGUUACUUGGAUUUGUUAGUUUAAGUCCUGGUUUUGCUACUUACUAAUCAUGUGAAUGUAGACACAGUCAUAAUCUCUAAGUCCGUUUUCUCAUCUGUAAAUGGUACUUUCGGGUACCAUAAUGGUACUUUAUGGGAUUGCUAGAAGAAUUAAAUGGGGUAACACAUGCAGAGUUCUUAGCUCAAUGCCUGGCACACUGUAAAUAUAAUGCAAUUUUAUACAAGGGUAACUUAAACAGUAUCAUACAUUUAGCCAGAAGAUAAAAGACUUUACUAUCUAAAUGUGAAAUGUAGUCAUCAAGUUGUAAUCCAGAAUACGCAGUCUUUUCUUUUGAGCAAUGCAAAUAUUUCAUGGAUGAUAUUUUUUGCUUUCAUAUUAUUUUAUGUGAUAUAAAUUAGAAUAGUUUGAGAAAAGUUUAGACAGGUCAGAGGGUGAAAUAUGUAAGAGUUUCUAGAGGAAUAAUAUGACUGAAGGAGGAAAAGUUAGAGGUGGGCUCCCGGGUGGCAUAUUCUGUCGUCAAGUGAACUGAACGAGAAGUCAUGUUUUGCAUCCUUUGUAUACUGUACAGUUUAAAAAGCAUUUUCAGGGGCGCCUGGGUGGCUCAGUGGGUUGAGCCGCUGCCUUCGGCUCAGGUCAUGAUCUCAGGGUCCUGGGAUCGAGUCCCACAUCGGGCUCUCUGCUCAGCGGGGAAN